Molecule: long non-coding RNA, 269 nt
Filed under: Elaeis guineensis (African oil palm)
Lineage: Eukaryota; Viridiplantae; Streptophyta; Magnoliopsida; Arecales; Arecaceae
Description: long non-coding RNA (EGUI_LNC080812)
Source: RNAcentral
GAUUAGCAAAGUUAGAAUGUCUAACUUGCAAGGUAAUAGAUCUGAUCUAUUAUAUUUUACAUACAUUAGAUGUAGUAUAGAAACAUGUUGAUAUGAUCAACAUGUAGUUCUUGCUCUUUAUAUUUUAAUUUUUGAUUUAAUGCCAUAUAAUAAUCAUGUAAUAGAAUCUUAGAUCUAGAGAUUCUCUAAUUUUAUAAGAUAAAUUUUGAUUUAUUUUAGUCUUUCGCUGCCUGAUCUUGAAAAAGUUUCAAGAUCUAACCCGAAACCCU